This 517-nucleotide ribosomal RNA is filed under the name uncultured bacterium. RNAcentral's name for it is "partial 16S ribosomal RNA". It matches the Rfam family "Bacterial small subunit ribosomal RNA", at positions 28 to 523 of the family's 1533-position model. The record is from RNAcentral.
GACGAACGCUGGCGGCGUGCCUAAUACAUGCAAGUCGAGCGGACCGAACGAGGGCUUGCUCUUGUUUGGUCAGCGGCGGACGGGUGAGUAACACGUGGGCAACCUGCCCGCAAGACCGGGAUAACUCCGGGAAACCGGAGCUAAUACCGGAUAACACCGAAGACCGCAUGGUCUUCGGUUGAAAGGCGGCCUUUGGGCUGUCACUUGCGGAUGGGACCGGGGCGCAUUAGCUAGUUGGUGAGGUAACGGCUCACCAAGGCGACGAUGCGUAGCCGGCCUGAGAGGGUGAACGGCCACACUGGGACUGAGACACGGCCCAGACUCCUACGGGAGGCAGCAGUAGGGAAUCUUCCGCAAUGGGCGAAAGCCUGACGGAGCGACGCCGCGUGAGCGAAGAAGGCCUUCGGGUCGUAAAGCUCUGUUGUGAGGGACGAAGGAGCGCCGUUCGAAGAGGGCGGCGCGGUGACGGUACCUCACGAGAAAGCCCCGGCUAACUACGUGCCAGCCGCCGCCGUAA